UCAAUUUUAAAUUUUUUUUGUUUCUUCUUUUAAUUUAUAUUAUUAUUUUUAUUUAUAUUUGUUUAUACUAAUAGCUCAUAUGUUUUAAGUUUAUAUAGAUUUUCUUCUUCAAAUUUCUACAACCAUCAAUCAUUUUGUUAUGUCAUAUAUGGAUUCUAUUUUUAAUUUACCAUGUUUUUCUUUUUUCUAUUAGGUGAAUUUUAUUUCUAUAAUUUUAAUUUUUAAAAAUUAAUAAAUUAUUG
RNAcentral lists this long non-coding RNA (242 nucleotides) under Theobroma cacao (cacao). RNAcentral describes it as "long non-coding RNA (TCAC_LNC002018)". Lineage: Eukaryota; Viridiplantae; Streptophyta; Magnoliopsida; Malvales; Malvaceae. The record is from RNAcentral.